RNAcentral lists this transfer RNA (63 nucleotides) under Ptilodactylidae sp. 3 ACP-2013. RNAcentral's name for it is "tRNA-Glu". Lineage: Eukaryota; Metazoa; Arthropoda; Insecta; Coleoptera; Ptilodactylidae. The record is from RNAcentral.
UAUUUAUAUAGUUUAUUAAAACAUUACAUUUUCACUGUAAAAUUGGGAAUAAUCUCUAUAAAU